RNAcentral lists this long non-coding RNA (311 nucleotides) under Ananas comosus (pineapple). Its description in RNAcentral is "long non-coding RNA (ACOM_LNC032837)". Lineage: Eukaryota; Viridiplantae; Streptophyta; Magnoliopsida; Poales; Bromeliaceae. The record is from RNAcentral.
AACAGAUCCUGGUUGGCGGAUCUUCGGCCCAAUAAUUUAUUAGAGAAAAUUUUAAAAUAUUAUCUUUAGAAUUUUGUAUUGUUUUUACUUUAGUAUUCUGUGAAUUAAAGGGGCUGUUUGGUUGUACGCAUUUGCAACUGCAGUGCAGUUGCAAAUGCGUACAGCCAUAAUUUCUUUGUUUGGUUUAGUGUAGUUGAGUUCAACUGCUGCAGUUCCAACGGCAUAAGAAGGCCCAAAUGCUGCAGUUGGAACUGCAUCCAAAUUGGUCGUAGUUCCAACUGCAGCAGUUGGUGAGGAAUAGGAUCACCCAC